GCCCGCUUAGCUCAUCGGUAGAGCGUGUCACUUGUACCAAGAAUGGGCCAUGACAAGGUAGCUAGUUCGACCCUGGCAGUGGGCU
Molecule: non-coding RNA, 85 nt
Organism: Lasiosphaeria hispida
Lineage: Eukaryota; Fungi; Ascomycota; Sordariomycetes; Sordariales; Lasiosphaeriaceae
Source: the annotation of a GenBank genome assembly